This 630-nucleotide ribosomal RNA is filed under the name uncultured soil bacterium. RNAcentral's name for it is "bacterial SSU rRNA". It matches the Rfam family "Bacterial small subunit ribosomal RNA", at positions 56 to 682 of the family's 1533-position model. The record is from RNAcentral.
UGCAAGUCGAACGCGCAGCAUUCUGUAGCAAUACAGGGUGUGGGCGCGUGGCGAACGGGUGCGUAACACGUGGAUAACCUUCCUUGAGGUGGGGAAUAACCCAGUGAAAAUUGGGCUAAUACCGCAUAACAUCGCGAUGGCACAUGCUGAUGCGAUCAAAGGCGCAAGUCGCCACAAGAGGGAUCCGCGGCCGAUUAGCUAGUUGGCGAGGUAAUGGCUCACCAAGGCAAUGAUCGGUAGCCGGACUGAGAGGUUGGCCGGCCACACUGGAACUGAGACACGGUCCAGACUCCUACGGGAGGCAGCAGUGGGGAAUCUUGCACAAUGGACGAAAGUCUGAUGCAGCAACGCCGCGUGGGGGAUGAAGCUUCUCGGAGUGUAAACCCCUUUCGACCCGGAAGAAUGCCCGCAAGGGUAUGACGGUACGGGUAUAAGAAGCCCCGGCUAACUACGUGCCAGCAGCCGCGGUAAUACGUAGGGGGCCAGCGUUGCUCGGAAUUACUGGGCGUAAAGGGUCCGUAGGCGGUGUAGCAAGUCGAUAGUGAAAUCUCUGCGCUUAACGCAGAGGCUGCUAACGAAACUGCUGUGCUAGAGUGUGAGAGAGGCGAGUGGAAUUACGGGUGUAGCGGU